This 449-nucleotide ribosomal RNA is filed under the name uncultured bacterium. Its description in RNAcentral is "partial 16S ribosomal RNA". It matches the Rfam family "Bacterial small subunit ribosomal RNA", at positions 337 to 795 of the family's 1533-position model. The record is from RNAcentral.
CCCUACGGGGGGCAGCAGUGGGGAAUUUUUCGCAAUGGGGGCAACCCUGACGAAGCAACGCCGCGUGGGUGAUGAAGUCUCUUGGGACGUAAAACCCUUUCGACGGGGAAGAAACCGCAAGGUUGACGGUACCCGUAGAAGAAGCCCCGGCUAACUCCGUGCCAGCAGCCGCGGUAAUACGGGGGGGGCAAGCGUUGUUCGGAAUUACUGGGCGUAAAGGGUGCGUAGGCGGUCCGCUAAGUUGGAUGUGAAAACUCUGGGCUUAACCCAGAGCCUGCAUUCAAAACUGACGGGCUAGAGUUCUGGAGGGGGUAGCGGAAUUCCUGGUGUAGCGGUGAAAUGCGUAGAUAUCAGGAGGAACACCGGUGGCGAAGGCGGCUACCUGGACAGAGUCUGACGCUGAGGCACGAAAGCUAGGGGAGCAAACAGGAUUAGAUACCCGAGUAGUC